RNAcentral lists this long non-coding RNA (308 nucleotides) under Zonotrichia albicollis (white-throated sparrow). RNAcentral's name for it is "lncRNA (ENSZALG00000000608.1)". Lineage: Eukaryota; Metazoa; Chordata; Aves; Passeriformes; Passerellidae. The record is from RNAcentral.
UUCACAGUCAUGGUUUUUGUGUACCACUCCAUAAAGGAAAUGUCUUUGUCCCUCCUUGUGUCACUUCAAUGGUGACUCAGACUUGUAGCUAGAAAUCCCAGACUUCAGCAGUGGAAGAUGUUGUGCUUCAGCUUACAGAUCUACACUGUCUAAACAGCCUUGUCAUCUGAACAAAAGCCCUCCUAUUGGAGAAGUAACACUUUCUGACUUCAAGAACUGUGCUGAACUCAGUAAUCUCUUCCUGCUCUGUGGCUGAGGAAUUGAGAGGUUUAAUGCGGAAAGAAAAUAAAACAAAACAAACCUCUCCA